This 73-nucleotide transfer RNA is filed under the name Camelus bactrianus (Bactrian camel). It matches the Rfam family "tRNA". From Rfam's summary of the family: Transfer RNA (tRNA) molecules are approximately 80 nucleotides in length. Their secondary structure includes four short double-helical elements and three loops (D, anti-codon, and T loops). RNAcentral also lists the same sequence under 2 other names. Lineage: Eukaryota; Metazoa; Chordata; Mammalia; Artiodactyla; Camelidae. The record is from Rfam by way of RNAcentral.
GAGGGUGUAGCUCAAGCGCUAGAGCACGUGCUUAGCACUCACGAGGUCCUGGGUUCAGUCCCCAGUGUGUUCU